Molecule: ribosomal RNA, 486 nt
Filed under: uncultured bacterium
Lineage: Bacteria
Description: partial 16S ribosomal RNA
Rfam family: Bacterial small subunit ribosomal RNA
Source: RNAcentral
GACGAACGCUGGCGGCGUGCUUAACACAUGCAAGUCGAACGGAUCUUCUCUUUGUAGCAAUACUUGGGGUUGGUUAGUGGCGAACGGGUGAGUAACACGUGAGAAACCUGCCCUGAAGACGGGGUUAACUGACCGAAAGGUCUGCUAAUACCCGAUGUCAUCAUGUGAUCGCAUGGCUGUGUGAGGAAAUGGAUUCCGCUUUAGGAGGGUCUCGCGGGCUAUCUGCGUGUUGGUGAGGUAAUGGCUCACCAAGGCGACGACGGCUAGCUGGUCUGAGAGGACGACCAGCCACACUGGGACUGAGACACGGCCCAGACUCCUACGGGAGGCAGCAGUGGGGAAUCUUGCGCAAUGGGCGGAAGCCGGACGCAGCAACGCCGCGUGUGGGAUGACGGCUUUCGGGUUGUAAACCACUUUCAGCAGGAACGAAAUUGACGGUACCUGCAGAAGAAGCACCGGCCAACUACGUGCCAGCCGCCGCCGUAA